Molecule: ribosomal RNA, 376 nt
Filed under: uncultured bacterium
Lineage: Bacteria
Description: bacterial SSU rRNA
Rfam family: Bacterial small subunit ribosomal RNA
Source: RNAcentral
GACGAACGCUGGCGGCGUGCUUAACACAUGCAAGUCGAGCGGUAAGGCCCUUUCGGGGGUACACGAGCGGCGAACGGGUGAGUAACACGUGGGUGACCUGCCCUUAGCUCUGGGAUAAGCCUGGGAAACUGGGUCUAAUACCGGAUAUGACUCCAUGACGCAUGUUGUGGGGUGGAAAGCCUUGUGCGGCUAGGGAUGGGCCCGCGGCCUAUCAGCUUGUUGGUGGGGUGAUGGCCUACCAAGGCGACGACGGGUAGCCGGCCUGAGAGGGCGACCGGCCACACUGGGACUGAGACACGGCCCAGACUCCUACGGGAGGGCAGCAGUGGGGAAUCUUGCGCAAUGGGCGGAAAGACCUGACGCAGCGACGCCGCGU